GAAAAAUAAAACAAAUUCCUCGAAAAAAAUGGCGCGCUCCGCGAAGUUCCACGUCUGACCGCUAUUCAACCGGCCGGCGUGGUGGCGCAACCAUCCACGUGGUAGAGGCGCUUCGCGAUCAUUCUACAGAGCAAGUUUAUUUGUAAACACGCGGUUUCAUUUCUUAAGAUGGACACGUACGAAGCACGUAAAAAAGAUUGGGAAGAUUUAGAAGUGACCAAAGAAGAGUUGAAGAAUUUGACCGAGUGUUUGAAGAAGGAAGAGUUCCGGAAAUUGUUGAUCGAGUACGCAGAGGAGGUGACUGAUCCGGAGAAUAGGAAGAUAUACGAGAAAGAAAUCACGCAAUUGGAAAAAGAACGGGGCGUCGACGUUACGUUCGUUAACCCAGAGCCUGGUUACGUCAUAAAAACAAGCGUAAACGGAGAGAAGAAAUGUUUUCUGAACAUCAGCAAAAGCGACAUCGUGGCACGACCGACCAGUCAACCUUCUUUCGAACAAGGUCAUCGCGGUUUGCAGUGGUCUAUUCCGUAUACGUUGAUACCUCCGCGUGACGAUCUUGAUAAAAAGAACGUGCGUUGCAUGGUAUUUGACGUUGUCUUUCAUCCGGACACUCUUUAUCUAUCGUCAAAGAAUGCGCAGUUUCGGGAAAUCGUUAAUAACACAGCCAUGGACGGUGUGGAAAAUAACUUCAAGGUCAAAUUAGACAGAAAGAAUGUUAAGUUUCCAAAGUCGAGUUAUAAAGGGAUGUGCCAUCCUACAGUGAUAAGAAAACCAUCCAAGGAACCUCCGAAGGAACAUUUAGACAUAGAACCAGAAAUCUAUCAAAAGUUGAUGUCCAGUUACGAUAGGAGCAGAGAGCAGCAUAUAAAGCAGACAGAGGAACAGCCGCGAAGACCUGUACCAUCUACCACAUACUAUAAAGAGAGACUGGAGGAGAAGCAAGACAUGAACAGUGAAUACGUUACACCUAAAUUUUCUAUUAAACAUCAGUCCGAUGUAGAGCUGGAAGAUUUCAGUACUAAUAGAAAUGCAAACAUGAAUGCUACAGUACCUAAGCGAUUGAUCAUUACUAUAGACCUACCCUUAUUAAAAACUGCCACCGAUGCUUCCUUAGAUGUUCAAGAGCGUUUUCUUAAUGUAAAGAGCGAAAAACCUGCAAAGUAUUUGCUGGAAUUGCCUUUGCCUUAUCGUGUAGAUGCAGAUCAUGGCAAUGCUAAAUUUGAUCCGAAAUACAAAAAACUAGUGGUGACUCUACCAGUUAUUAGAUCUGUGGUACCAGUGUCCGAUACCAGAGAAGACAGCGGAGUUGACAGCGAUCAUAGUAGUCCUGUACCGAUGCUCUCUGAACGCAUCUCAAAAGAUGAUUCCUUUGAUCAGAGUCACGCGAGUAACUCUAUAUCAAAAUUAGUUGAAGAUUGUGAAACAGUGCUCGCAAUCACUAAACUAGAGGAUACAAGUGAAAAGUUAGAAGAUUCUAGUGACACUGCGUUACGGACUAACAUAGAGGAUACAGAUACUUUUACAGAUCCUAGCGUUAAGUAUUCUUUACCGACGUUUAUUUGUAAUUUAUACGAAAAUCAAUUAACUAUUACUAUAAAUGUAAAAAACGUGAAUCCAGAUUCUAUUCGUCAUAAGAUCUUGCAAAAUAAUUCCGGUGUGCAUGUUUUAUUAACAUCGAUAGGCGCAGGAUUUUAUCCUCAACAUUAUUCGUUAUGUUUAAAAAUAAACGAAAACUCUGUGGAUCCCGAUUCGUUCACGGUUGAUCCAUGGGAUAAUAACGUUGUGUUCUCCGUAAAAUUAGAAAACGUUGAAAACUUAGCACGAUACUACGUUGGUGAGACCGAGGAGUUCAUGGAAGAGAAAUAUCUUCCUACAGCUUUGUCAUUCCAGACCCAAUUGAAAGAACUGACAGCGGAAGAAGAUUUCAAAAUAGAUCGAACGAUAGACGUGCACACAGAAGAUGAUGGUGUCGUCAUAAAUAUUACUCCGAAUCAGUUGGAUUCCGACGACGAAGUUGAUCACCGGAAUUUGCGGUCGAUCGAAUGUCGCGAAAAUCAUGACACCGUGUCAGAAACUAGAUCCGUUUCAGAAAGUAGCGGAGAUGAACUAACAAGUAGCAUCGGUGCAAGUACAUUCUCGAAAGGUAUAUUAAAAUCAAGGCGCGCUAAUGCUUUUUCUCGUUCAGUAUCGGAAUCGAGCGCCGAUGAAAAUGGAAUGCCGGCAUCGUCUAUAGACUGCCAUUACGGUUCGGUACAAGACAUGAACUCUGAAUCGGAAUGUUCCAGUUUAAAAAAGACAGUACGAUUCAAUGACGUAGUGUCGCGACAAUUAUUCAGAUCAAACUCCAGCAUUCUCGGUCGACGUAAGAAAAACCGACGUAAAUUGCGAAACAAAAAACGUGCACAGAAUCGUAGAUUGAGCGAGAGCGAAAACUCCGAAACGGAGGAACGCGACAAAUAUAAGAUAAAUCAAAAGAGUACAGAAGUUACUGAUAUCGUGAAACCUAUACUUAAUAAGGAUAAGCAAUCGACGAAACAGAAAACUGCCAAUAUUGAAAUAAUGAAAGGGGCUAGUGAUAAUCGUUCGUCGGUGGAAAGGAACUCCAGCGUCGAGGAAGAAAUCGAGCAUGAAAUUCAUUCGGAUAAGGAUAUCGAAUAUAAGGAUGCGGUGAAGAUGGAAUUUAAGAACGAUCUGAUAUUUGAUCUUGACAUGUAGAUUUCUGCGAUAUGUCAACGAAUUGAAACUCGUAUGUGAUAUCUUCUGAAGUUAAACGAUAACGAAAGAAAAGUGACUACGCAUCAUAGUUGCGCGCACCAUCGUGAAUCGAUGAAAUUGUAUAUUCGUAUUAUUUUAGAAGGGUUCGUAAUCGUGAGUAAACAAAUUGUUAGAGAAUGUUAGAAGUUUUUAGUACGAUAGCUCAAAAACGUCGAUCUUAUUCUAUUAUACCUUACAUAUUUAUAAAGAUUGCGGGUACGCGGUCAACAAAGUGCAGAGAUGGAUGGGAAUCUCUUUAAUAUAUCUCAUGCGAUGUACUGCAUACUUUGAGAAUAUUUCUUAUAGAAAAGCAGAAGAACGCGAUUUAUUAAAAUUAUUCGUGAAGGGAAUCUGCAUAAGAAGUACGAAAACACAUGCUCUAUUUUAUAGAAUGAAGUUCUUAAAAAAAUCAAUUUUUACAGACAUUUUAUAGAGAUUAUCGUACGAUCAUUUGUAUAGAUUGCACGUAGCGAAUACAUUCUUCCAAUAAUCGCGAUCAUAUAAUCUGAAUCAUGAUUAGAAAGUAUUGUUCCAUCGCGGAGCAAAUUGCGCACUCUUGCUUUUGUAGCGAGGUGUUUGCCAUAUCAAUGUACACGCGAUACAAUAUUAGCAUAUUCCAUACAAUAAAAAGUGGGGAAUAAAAUUUCCUGAUACUAUGUUCAA
This 3417-nucleotide unclassified non-coding RNA is filed under the name Megachile rotundata (alfalfa leafcutting bee). RNAcentral's name for it is "protein kintoun, transcript variant X1". The record is from RNAcentral. Lineage: Eukaryota; Metazoa; Arthropoda; Insecta; Hymenoptera; Megachilidae.